UUUUCUCAUACCCAUGCUGGUAUCCAUUUCUGUAUAUGUAAUCAAUUUCUUGGAUAAGGUCCCUUUUUUCAGUAGUGUAAACCUCAUCUCUCUUAAAGAAAAACCUGAAAGCCACCCUCUUAAACUUUACAGGGUCAUGGGAUCAUUUAGGGAUGAGGACAGGACGGUAUAUUGGUUUUCUGUAGACCUUGGUCUUUUUACGUAUUUUUUUAAAAACAAAAUUAGUUCUAAACUCUUGAAGCCAUGUGUGUUCUGAUAUUUUAUUUUGUUCUAAAGUGUUCAUUUAAAAAAGAGAGUGUAUGCUGAAGAGUCUCUUAGAAAGGCCAAAAACGUUUUAUAAUAAAAAAUAUCUUCUGUUAUAGUAAUGCCUGUGUCAAAAAAUAUUAAUAUUAAUGUUAAGUUCUUGCUUUUUAUCUUAUUAGCAUAAGUAGAAAAAUUCAAAUUGCCUAUUAGCUUCAAAAUGAUCACUGAAAGAAAAGCGCUCAAGGGCGGUUUUAUAAAAGUGGAACCUUUUUAAUAGAAAAACUUUAAAACACUUUGGUCAAACUUAUGAUCAUCUUCAGCUACUAUAUAGGAAAUACA
RNAcentral lists this long non-coding RNA (582 nucleotides) under Androctonus crassicauda. The record is from RNAcentral. Lineage: Eukaryota; Metazoa; Arthropoda; Arachnida; Scorpiones; Buthidae.